RNAcentral lists this long non-coding RNA (1103 nucleotides) under Salvator merianae (Argentine black and white tegu). RNAcentral's name for it is "lncRNA (ENSSMRG00000011840.1)". Lineage: Eukaryota; Metazoa; Chordata; Lepidosauria; Squamata; Teiidae. The record is from RNAcentral.
AGCGAGGCUGACAGGCGUAGUGAUCGAAAAAGGCUCGUUGCCAUGCAGUUGUCUGUGACGUUGCGCUUCUUCCAAUCAUUAGCACGGGUUGUUAAAGAGAAACCGCCCCCCUGGAAAACCGGCCAAUCCACCUUUGACUUUUCUUCGUGUGUUUGUGGAAGGUGAGGCUUCGGAUUUACAAAUGAGGUUGUUGAGUUUCGGUUGCCGUGGAAACGAAUGCGGCUACGUAGGUCUCCCCCUUCAGCUCUACAAAGGUGAAACUGUGGUGCCUUUCCCUAAUUCCAGGUAAUUCGAAUUGGUUUCCCACCAAUUCUCCUUCUUAUCUACACUUUUAAUCAGAUGAGAUCGAGUGACGAAAAAAAGCUCCAUAGCAGCAUCACUUCCUAUAGAAUGGAGAAUAAACCUUCAGGCAUAGAAUCAGACUACAUCAAGAAUCUCCAGCAGCAGAUUUACUUUCUUGAACUGGAAGCCAGUUUUCUAUAUCCAAUGCAGUGUGUAGUUAGAUUCUCCUAACAGAUAGCAGGAGAAAAACAAAUGCAUGAAAAAUAAUAUUGCACUAAAAUAUUGCAGAAAUUAUGCAGAUGAACUUUUUAUUUCAAGUUUAUUAACCCCUCCUAACAGCAUUAAUUUCAAAUCACCUUUUGACCUUAACUGUCUAUUAUUACUCGUGAACAAGCUAAAAAGGCCAUUGAUCUUCAGCCUCGCCUUGCAUUGGAAACAGACAACAUGCUACAAAAAAUGCAGGAAUUCCAGUCUCAGUUGGAUGGUCUUCAACUCGAGCUAAAGCGAAAGGAAAGUGGUUUAAAUGUAUUGAAGAAGGAGAAAGAACAACUUAACAACCAGAUCAACGUGACUGAUGAGUGCCAUUCAAAAGAGAAGCAGGUUUUAGUAGAUGAAAUUAUAGCACUGAAGAGAAAGAAGGAGCAAACAGACAAGCAAAUAUCUGCAAAAGAAACAGAACUAUCGCAUGCUAAGCAGGAACUGGAACAGCAACAAAUGACCCUGAGUAACAGGGAACAGACUAUCCUUGUAUUACGAACAAAGGAAUGAGAUAUCAUUUCUUCAUCAACAAAUCCGUGAAAAAGAGCACCUAGCAGAACAGG